AUUGAACGCUGGCGGCAGGCCUAACACAUACAAGUCGAACGGUAACAGGAAGAAGCUUGCUUCUUUGCUGACGAGUGGCGGACGGGUGAGUAAUGUCUGGGAAACUGCCUGAUGGAGGGGGAUAACUACUGGAAACGGUAGCUAAUACCGCAUAACGUCGCAAGACCAAAGAGGGGGACCUUCGGGCCUCUUGCCAUCGGAUGUGCCCAGAUGGGAUUAGCUAGUAGGUGGGGUAACGGCUCACCUAGGCGACGAUCCCUAGCUGGUCUGAGAGGAUGACCAGCCACAAUGGAACUGAGACACGGUCCAGACUCCUACGGGAGGCAGCAGUGGGGAAUAUUGCACAAUGGGCGGAAGCCUGAUGCAGCCAUGCCGCGUGUAUGAAGAAGGCCUUCGGGUUUGAAAGUACUUUUAGCGGGGAGGAAGGGAGUAAAGUUAAUACCUUUGCUCAUUGACGUUACCCGCAGAAGAAGCACCGGCUAACUCCGUG
RNAcentral lists this ribosomal RNA (490 nucleotides) under uncultured bacterium. RNAcentral describes it as "partial 16S ribosomal RNA". It matches the Rfam family "Bacterial small subunit ribosomal RNA", at positions 30 to 507 of the family's 1533-position model. The record is from RNAcentral.